GACGAACGCUGGCGGCGUGCUUAACACAUGCAAGUCGAGCGGUAAGGCCCUUUCGGGGGUACACGAGCGGCGAACGGGUGAGUAACACGUGGGUGACCUGCCCUCAGCUCUGGGAUAAGCCUGGGAAACCGGGUCUAAUACUGGAUAUGACUCCAUGACGCAUGUUGUGGGGUGGAAAGCCUUGUGCGGCUGAGGAUGGGCCCGCGGCCUAUCAGCUUGUUGGUGGGGUGAGGCCUACCAAGGCGACGACGGGUAGCCGGCCUGAGAGGGCGACCGGCCACACUGGGACUGAGACAUGGCCCAGACUCCUACGGGAGGCAGCAGUGGGGAAUCUUGCGCAAUGGGCGAAAGCCUGACGCAGCGACGCCGCGUGAGGGAUGACGGCCU
This 387-nucleotide ribosomal RNA is filed under the name uncultured bacterium. RNAcentral describes it as "bacterial SSU rRNA". It matches the Rfam family "Bacterial small subunit ribosomal RNA", at positions 28 to 417 of the family's 1533-position model. The record is from RNAcentral.